UAGUUUCUCUAGGUGUGUUCCCAUGGCAGAAACAAACAACAAACAACCCCUCAAGCUUCUGCUUGUGUCACAAUGGCUAGCAUUCUAUCAGCCAAAGCAAGUUCCAUGUCGAGGCCCAAAAUUAAAGGUAGGUGGGUUACAUUCUAUCCACUAAGAUGAAGGGAGGGAGUACUUGCUAGUCAGAGGUCUCAGCUGCCACAGUGAUUAAACCAGGAUUCAAUCAUGAUUUGGUCAUGACUUUCCCUCACAUUCAUCACCAAAUCCUAUAAGUGGGCAGUUGCCAUGGCUAGAGAUAGUCCAUGCUUCCAGCCCUAACUCAAGGCAUGCAGUCAGGGCUGAGCACGCUCUCCUCAGAGCUGAGCCCUUCAACUGGAUUGUUCCUCCCACUGCAGCUGGGGGUCAGACAGCCCUCUAGGCUGCAUUUUUCAAGCCACUGUCUGGAGGGGUUUGGAUCUAGACUGGCUGCAGGCAAUGGUCCAGUUCAUCCUUGCUGUUCUGGGAGCUUCCAGGCCAGCUACUGAGUCCAGAUGAAUGAACUCGGAGUCACCAGACAACAAAACCCGACAAAACAUAACCUUGAAGCCUCAAGAAAGGGAUCGAAGAAGGACACUCAAUGAAACGAUUCCUGUAGCGUGGGCAGAUAAGGAGCACCUCACAUCCCCAGAGAGUACAGCAGCACUCACUUCAGCAGGCCUAAGACAGCAACUGUCUCCAUCUCCCCAGACCCUGCCAGCAUGGGGCCAGCACCUCCACAGGCUGGAAGCGGCUGUUCUCCAAGUGGCGAUGAAGACAGCUUUAAUGGGCUUACAGUCACGUGUCCCUCAAAGGCCAGCCCCCCUGGACGGCUGUUUGCAAACUCCUCUCCAAAGCUGCUUCCCUUGAAGAGAGUUGCUACACAAUCAUUACAAAUUGAUUGCAAAAGAGCUAACAAUCAUGAUUAAAUCAUUAAAUUCUUGUCUACGCUUCAGAGAGCGGUGAGAAAAUUAACUUCCCACCAACCUAAUUUUUUCCUGAACAUGAAAUAAUGAUUUUCUGCCCGUCUAAUUACAAAGCCAAC
This 1057-nucleotide long non-coding RNA is filed under the name Fukomys damarensis (Damara mole-rat). Its description in RNAcentral is "lncRNA (ENSFDAG00000024668.1)". The record is from RNAcentral. Lineage: Eukaryota; Metazoa; Chordata; Mammalia; Rodentia; Bathyergidae.